UACAGAGGUCCCAAGCGUUGUUCGGAUUCAUUGGGCGUAAAGGGUGUGUAGGUGGCGCCGUAAGUCGGGUGUGAAAUUUCGGAGCUUAACUCCGAAACUGCAUUCGAUACUGCGGUGCUUGAGGACUGGAGAGGAGACUGGAAUUCAUGGUGUAGCAGUGAAAUGCGUAGAGAUCAUGAGGAAGACCAGUGGCGAAGGCGGGUCUCUGGACAGUUCCUGACACUGAGACACGAAGGCCAGGGGAGCAAACGGGG
Molecule: ribosomal RNA, 254 nt
Filed under: uncultured bacterium
Lineage: Bacteria
Description: partial 16S ribosomal RNA
Rfam family: Bacterial small subunit ribosomal RNA
Source: RNAcentral